UGGGGAAUAUUGCACAAUGGGCGAAAGCCUGAUGCAGCAACGCCGCGUGAGUGAUGAAGGCCUUCGGGUUGUAAAGCUCUGUCUUCUGGGACGAUAAUGACGGUACCAGAGGAGGAAGCCACGGCUAACUACGUGCCAGCAGCCGCGGUAAUACGUAGGUGGCAAGCGUUGUCCGGAUUUACUGGGCGUAAAGGAUGCGUAGGCGGAUACUUAAGUCAGAUGUGAAAAUCCCGGGCUUAACUUGGGAACUGCAUUUGAAACUGGGUAUCUAGAGUGCGGGAGAGGACAGUGGAAUUCCCAGUGUAGCGGUGAAAUGCGUAGAGAUUAGGAAGAACACCAGUGGCGAAGGCGACUUUCUGGACCGUAACUGACGCUGAGGCAUGAAAGCGUGGGGAGCAAACA
Molecule: ribosomal RNA, 402 nt
Filed under: uncultured bacterium
Lineage: Bacteria
Description: bacterial SSU rRNA
Rfam family: Bacterial small subunit ribosomal RNA
Source: RNAcentral